RNAcentral lists this ribosomal RNA (253 nucleotides) under uncultured bacterium. RNAcentral's name for it is "partial 16S ribosomal RNA". It matches the Rfam family "Bacterial small subunit ribosomal RNA", at positions 524 to 776 of the family's 1533-position model. The record is from RNAcentral.
UACGAAGGGGGCUAGCGUUGCUCGGAAUCACUGGGCGUAAAGGGUGCGUAGGCGGAUCUUUAAGUCAGGGGUGAAAUCCCAGAGCUCAACUCUGGAACUGCCUUUGAUACUGGGGAUCUCGAGUUCGGGAGAGGUGAGUGGAACUGCGAGUGUAGAGGUGAAAUUCGUAGAUAUUCGCAAGAACACCAGUGGCGAAGGCGGGCAUCUGGGCCAACACUGACGCUGAGGUGCGAAAGCGUGGGGAGCAAACAGG